AUGGCUCAGAUUGAACGCUGGCGGCAGGCCUAACACAUGCAAGUCGAGCGGUAGCACAGAGAGCUUGCUCUCGGGUGACGAGCGGCGGACGGGUGAGUAAUGUCUGGGAAACUGCCUGAUGGAGGGGGAUAACUACUGGAAACGGUAGCUAAUACCGCAUAACGUCGCAAGACCAAAGUGGGG
RNAcentral lists this ribosomal RNA (183 nucleotides) under Klebsiella sp. GL120222-02. Its description in RNAcentral is "partial 16S ribosomal RNA". It matches the Rfam family "Bacterial small subunit ribosomal RNA", at positions 19 to 211 of the family's 1533-position model. Lineage: Bacteria; Pseudomonadati; Pseudomonadota; Gammaproteobacteria; Enterobacterales; Enterobacteriaceae. The record is from RNAcentral.